UACGGAGGGUCCAAGCGUUAUCCGGAAUCAUUGGGUUUAAAGGGUGCGUAGGCGGCGCGGUAAGUCGGGUGUGAAAUCUCGGAGCUUAACUCCGAAACUGCAUUCGAUACUGCCGUGCUUGAGGACUGGAGAGGAGACUGGAAUUUACGGUGUAGCGGUGAAAUGCGUAGAUAUCGUAAGGAAGACCAGUGGCGAAGGCGGGUCUCUGGACAGUUCCUGACGCUGAGGCACGAAGGUCAGGGGAGCAAACGGG
Molecule: ribosomal RNA, 253 nt
Filed under: uncultured bacterium
Lineage: Bacteria
Description: partial 16S ribosomal RNA
Rfam family: Bacterial small subunit ribosomal RNA
Source: RNAcentral